CGGGACGGGUGAGUAAUGUCUGGGAAACCGCCUGAUGGAGGGGGAUAACUACUGGAAACGGUAGCUAAUACCGCAUAACAUCGCAAGACCAAAGAGGGGGACCUUAGGGCCUCUUGCCAUCGGAUGUGCCCAGAUGGGAUUAGCUAGUAGGUGGGGUAAAGGCUCACCUAGGCGACGAUCCCUAGCUGGUCUGAGAGGAUGACCAGCCACACUGGAACUGAGACACGGUCCAG
Molecule: ribosomal RNA, 233 nt
Filed under: uncultured bacterium
Lineage: Bacteria
Description: partial 16S ribosomal RNA
Rfam family: Bacterial small subunit ribosomal RNA
Source: RNAcentral